Molecule: long non-coding RNA, 1045 nt
Organism: Onychostoma macrolepis
Lineage: Eukaryota; Metazoa; Chordata; Actinopteri; Cypriniformes; Cyprinidae
Exons: 4
Source: RefSeq, a predicted model, not a curated record
UCAGCUUAUUAUUUUGAUACUCUUUAGAAAAAAUAAAUAAAUAAAAAUAAUGAUUUGCAAAGGUUUGGAAGCUUCACGGCUAUCACUACCACGCAACGCCACGUAGACGCGCAACAAAACUUUCGGAGUAGAUGGCGUGACCGCGCUUUUCCGAAGCGCAGAUGGCGUGACUGCAGUAAAUAAUUUGGCGGUUAAUCCUCAGGAGAUUUCAGCGGGCACAGUUCUCAAGAGGAAUACUACUUAAGCUGCAAAAAGAAAUUCUGAGCUGUUGCAUGAACAUUCAUCAAACAUAUAAGGCUGCAAUUUGGAAAAAAACUUUCAAGCUAAUGCUGCUGAAAUGGAGGUCAAGGGGACUGAAGAGGUGGCUCCAGCUGAAGGGUGGACUUCAGGAGGCAGACACACUCUGUUACAGUAAUCAGCUGAUCCAUUCGGUAUCCAGACCAGACGGUGGACCUGCACCCAGGAGCGACCACAACACAUCCCUGACUGUCAGCGGAGACCAUGUCAGCUAGAUGACAGAUCUCUGUGAAGACCUCAUUGAUGGCCCCAGCACAGAUCCUCAGCAAAGACUACGAGAACCAGACAAGCCCUCUGCACAGACCCUUUUUACCAGCUUCACCUGUUGGCGUGAUAUUACUUCAUGCAGAAGAAGUUGGAUGAAAUAUUCUGAAUGAUAUCAAUCCACAAUCUGACUUGUGAUGCAGCCUGGAAUAAUCACACCACGUUCAUUCGUUUGGCCAGACGAGACUGGUUUCCUGACUGAGCCGGGUCUUGUUUGGGUUUGGGUUCCUUGUCACUGUUGCCUUUUGUCUUGCUUGGUUGAAGACACCUAAUAUUCAGCAAUAUUAUUGACUUGACUGCACUGACACCAUGUGAUAAGAACUGAACUGAAUUAUGACACACAAUGUUUUAUAUAUGAAGAGUUUAUUUACAAAAACAGAUAACUCCAUUUUUAAAUAUUUUUAAAAAUCAUGUUUUUUGUUAUGUUUUUGUUUCGUGUUAGUUAGCUAGUAUUUAUUAGUUAUUCUUUACCUAAUCAAAAUAA